RNAcentral lists this ribosomal RNA (253 nucleotides) under uncultured bacterium. Its description in RNAcentral is "partial 16S ribosomal RNA". It matches the Rfam family "Bacterial small subunit ribosomal RNA", at positions 524 to 776 of the family's 1533-position model. The record is from RNAcentral.
GACAGAGGGGGCAAGCGUUGCUCGGAAUCACUGGGCGUAAAGGGCGCGUAGGCGGGAUGGCAAGUCGGUCGUGAAAUCUCUCGGCUCAACCGAGAAACGUCGGCCGAUACUGCCGUUCUUGAGGGAUGCAGAGGAGACUGGAAUUCCCGGUGUAGCGGUGAAAUGUGUAGAGAUCGGGAGGAACACCGGUGGCGAAGGCGGGUCUCUGGACAGUUCCUGACGCUGAGGCACGAAGGUCAGGGGAGCAAACGGG